GAUUCUUUAGUAUAAAUAAGUAUAUUUGACUUCCAAUCAAAAGGUACCAAGGAUUA
Molecule: transfer RNA, 56 nt
Filed under: Caenorhabditis plicata
Lineage: Eukaryota; Metazoa; Nematoda; Chromadorea; Rhabditida; Rhabditidae
Description: tRNA-Gly
Source: RNAcentral